Small nuclear RNA from Myotis daubentonii (Daubenton's bat), 107 nucleotides. Lineage: Eukaryota; Metazoa; Chordata; Mammalia; Chiroptera; Vespertilionidae. The record is from RefSeq and is a predicted model, not a curated record.
GUGCUCACUGCGGCAGCACAUAUACUAAAAUCUGAACAAUACGGAGAAGGUUGGCUUGGCCGCUGCACAAGGAUGACCCGCAAAUUUGUGAAGCCUCCAUAUUUUCA